RNAcentral lists this transfer RNA (71 nucleotides) under Bos indicus (zebu cattle). It matches the Rfam family "tRNA". From Rfam's summary of the family: Transfer RNA (tRNA) molecules are approximately 80 nucleotides in length. Their secondary structure includes four short double-helical elements and three loops (D, anti-codon, and T loops). The record is from Rfam by way of RNAcentral. Lineage: Eukaryota; Metazoa; Chordata; Mammalia; Artiodactyla; Bovidae.
UCCCAGCUGGCUCAGUGGUAAAGAAUCUGCCUGCAAUGCAGGAGACCUGGGUUCGAUCCCUGGGUCAGGAA